Molecule: transfer RNA, 73 nt
Filed under: Vicugna pacos (alpaca)
Lineage: Eukaryota; Metazoa; Chordata; Mammalia; Artiodactyla; Camelidae
Description: tRNA-Ala (AGC) (tRNA-Ala-AGC-429-1)
Rfam family: tRNA
About the family: Transfer RNA (tRNA) molecules are approximately 80 nucleotides in length. Their secondary structure includes four short double-helical elements and three loops (D, anti-codon, and T loops). Further hydrogen bonds mediate the characteristic L-shaped molecular structure. tRNAs have two regions of fundamental functional importance: the anti-codon, which is responsible for specific mRNA codon recognition, and the 3' end, to which the tRNAs corresponding amino acid is attached (by aminoacyl-tRNA synthetases). tRNAs cope with the degeneracy of the genetic code in two manners: having more than one tRNA (with a specific anti-codon) for a particular amino acid; and 'wobble' base-pairing, i.e. permitting non-standard base-pairing at the 3rd anti-codon position.
Source: RNAcentral
GGUGGGUAUAGCUCAGUGGUAGGGCACGUGCUUAGCAUGCACGAGGUCCUGGGUUCAAUCCCCAGUACCUCCA